RNAcentral lists this ribosomal RNA (440 nucleotides) under Salmonella enterica subsp. enterica serovar Typhimurium. RNAcentral describes it as "bacterial SSU rRNA". It matches the Rfam family "Bacterial small subunit ribosomal RNA", at positions 1103 to 1533 of the family's 1533-position model. Lineage: Bacteria; Pseudomonadati; Pseudomonadota; Gammaproteobacteria; Enterobacterales; Enterobacteriaceae. The record is from RNAcentral.
CCUUAUCCUUUGUUGCCAGCGAUUAGGUCGGGAACUCAAAGGAGACUGCCAGUGAUAAACUGGAGGAAGGUGGGGAUGACGUCAAGUCAUCAUGGCCCUUACGACCAGGGCUACACACGUGCUACAAUGGCGCAUACAAAGAGAAGCGACCUCGCGAGAGCAAGCGGACCUCAUAAAGUGCGUCGUAGUCCGGAUUGGAGUCUGCAACUCGACUCCAUGAAGUCGGAAUCGCUAGUAAUCGUGGAUCAGAAUGCCACGGUGAAUACGUUCCCGGGCCUUGUACACACCGCCCGUCACACCAUGGGAGUGGGUUGCAAAAGAAGUAGGUAGCUUAACCUUCGGGAGGGCGCUUACCACUUUGUGAUUCAUGACUGGGGUGAAGUCGUAACAAGGUAACCGUAGGGGAACCUGCGGUUGGAUCACCUCCUUACCUUAAAGAA